Molecule: long non-coding RNA, 633 nt
Filed under: Ananas comosus (pineapple)
Lineage: Eukaryota; Viridiplantae; Streptophyta; Magnoliopsida; Poales; Bromeliaceae
Description: long non-coding RNA (ACOM_LNC036837)
Source: RNAcentral
AAGUGCCUACACUUUACCCCUUGUAAAAUAAAAAAUGUUCACUUCAUCUCCUACCAUUAAUGAUCCGUUAGGGUUUCGUUAUAAAGUAUUUUUUUAUGCCAAAAAAACCCUCCGUCCUCUCUACUGUUGCUUUGCCCUCCUCCACCUCGCCGACUCGCCGCCUCGCCCACCUCCACUGCCUCGCCCUCGCCCACAUGUCCAUCCGCGCCCAUAAACACCCCCUCGCCCUCCUCCGCCGUCUCGCCUUCGCCCUCGUUGCCCUUGCCCACCUCUCCAUCCACGACCAACUCGAUUUCUUCUCUAUUGUCGCCGAAAUGGAGGGGCGACGAGGGUGGGGAGCAUGUGGAGAAAAAAAUGAAGAGGAAUCGCGACCGAUCGAGGCGCGAACCGUGGCCGAUCGAGGCAGCAGAUGAGCAAGAUGAGUGAGGAGACGACAAUGGUGAGGGGCAAAAUGGUCAUUUUGUCAUCACAGUUCACACCGUACCCCCGUGAACAUUUUUCAUUUUACAAAGGGGUAAAGUAUAGUUUUUUAAAUGACAAGAGGGAAAAGUAAAAAUCAGAUUUUGAUAGAAAGUUUUUAUGUAAUUUAGCCAAUUUAUUGUUCUACGAAUGAAAACAAGUUAGAUAUGAAGU